UAGGGAAUAUUGGACAAUGGGGGCAACCCUGAUCCAGCCAUGCCGCGUGAGUGAAGAAGGCCCUCGGGUUGUAAAGCUCUUUUGUCCGGAAAGAAAAGCAUUCGGUGAAUACCCGGAUGUUCUGACGGUACCGGAAGAAUAAGCACCGGCUAACUUCGUGCCAGCAGCCGCGGUAAUACGAAGGGUGCAAGCGUUACUCGGAAUUACUGGGCGUAAAGCGUGCGUAGGUGGUUGUUUAAGUCUGAUGCGAAAGCCCUGGGCUCAACCUGGGAAUGGCAUUGGAAACUGGGCAGCUAGAGUGCGGUAGAGGGUAGUGGAAUUCCCGGUGUAGCAGUGAAAUGCGUAGAGAUCGGGAGGAACAUCUGUGGCGAAGGCGACUGCCUGGACCAGCACUGACACUGAGGCACGAAAGCGUGGGGAGCAAACA
RNAcentral lists this ribosomal RNA (427 nucleotides) under uncultured bacterium. RNAcentral describes it as "bacterial SSU rRNA". It matches the Rfam family "Bacterial small subunit ribosomal RNA", at positions 355 to 774 of the family's 1533-position model. The record is from RNAcentral.